AAGGGUAUGGCUGUUCGCCAUUUAAAGUGGUACGCGAGCUGGGUUUAGAACGUCGUGAGACAGUUCGGUCCCUAUCUGCCGUGGGCGCUGGAGAAUUGAGGGGGGCUGCUCCUAGUACGAGAGGACCGGAGUGGACGCAUCACUGGUGUUCGGGUUGUCAUGCCAAUGGCACUGCCCGGUAGCUAAAUGCGGAAGAGAUAAGUGCUGAAAGCAUCUAAGCACGAAACUUGCCCCGAGAUGAGUUCUCCCUGAGACUUUAAGUCUCCUGAAGGAACGUUGAAGACGACGACGUUGAUAGGCCGGGUGUGUAAGCGCAGCGAUGCGUUGAGCUAACCGGUACUAAUGAACCGUGAGGCUUAACCUUACAACGCCGAAG
RNAcentral lists this ribosomal RNA (376 nucleotides) under Klebsiella pneumoniae. Its description in RNAcentral is "partial 23S ribosomal RNA". It matches the Rfam family "Bacterial large subunit ribosomal RNA", at positions 2567 to 2925 of the family's 2925-position model. Lineage: Bacteria; Pseudomonadati; Pseudomonadota; Gammaproteobacteria; Enterobacterales; Enterobacteriaceae. The record is from RNAcentral.